This 483-nucleotide ribosomal RNA is filed under the name uncultured bacterium. RNAcentral's name for it is "bacterial SSU rRNA". It matches the Rfam family "Bacterial small subunit ribosomal RNA", at positions 26 to 509 of the family's 1533-position model. The record is from RNAcentral.
AGGACGAACGCUGGCGGCGUGCUUAACACAUGCAAGUCGAACGAGAAUCACUGGAAGGAGUUUCGGACAACGGAAAGUGAGGACAGUGGCGGACGGGUGAGUAACGCGUGAGGAACCUGCCUUUCAGAGGGGGACAACAGUUGGAAACGACUGCUAAUACCGCAUAAUGCACGGAGGUGGCAUCACCACCGUGCCAAAGAUUUAUCGCUGAAAGAUGGCCUCGCGUCUGAUUAGCUGGUUGGUGAGGUAACGGCCCACCAAGGCGACGAUCAGUAGCCGGACUGAGAGGUUGGCCGGCCACAUUGGGACUGAGAUACGGCCCAGACUCCUACGGGAGGCAGCAGUGGGGAAUAUUGGGCAAUGGGCGCAAGCCUGACCCAGCAACGCCGCGUGAAGGAAGAAGGCUUUCGGGUUGUAAACUUCUUUUGGCAGGGAAGAGAAGAAGACGGUACCUGCUGAAUAAGCCACGGCUAACUACGUGCC